Molecule: ribosomal RNA, 467 nt
Filed under: uncultured bacterium
Lineage: Bacteria
Description: partial 16S ribosomal RNA
Rfam family: Bacterial small subunit ribosomal RNA
Source: RNAcentral
GAUGAACGCUGGCGGCGCGCCUAACACAUGCAAGUCGAACGAUUAAAGCACCUUCGGGUGUGUAUAAAGUGGCGAACGGCUGAGUAACACGUGGGCAACCUGCCCCUUUCAUUGGGAUAGCCACGGGAAACCGUGGAUAAUACCGAAUACUUCGAGACUUCCGCAUGGAAGACUCGAGAAAGCUCCGGCGGAGAGGGAUGGGCCCGCGGCCUGUUAGCUUGUUGGUGGGGUAACGGCCUACCAAGGCAAUGAUGGGUAGCUGGGUUGAGAGACCGACCUGCCAGAUUGGGACUGAGACACGGCCCAGACUCCUACGGGAGGCAGCAGUGGGGAAUCUUGCACAAUGGGCGAAAGCCUGAUGCAGCGACGCCGCGUGCGGGAUGAAGGCCUUCGGGUUGUAAACCGCUUUCAGCAGGGACGAGGCGAAAGUGACGGUACCUGCAGAAGAAGCCCCGGCUAACUACGUG